UUUCAAUGGCAACCUGUUUGCAAGAAUUACCAAUGUCAAAGUGAAAGCCGAUGGGAUGGACAAACUUACCCGUCUAAAUCAACGCCGAAAACGAUGCCAAUCAAGAUCAUAAACAUAAACAUUUUAUAGUGUCUCUGAAGCGUUAUAAAUAUUUUGAGGAAUAAAGGCAAUUUUGAUACUCAGUAAUAUUGGAUGCUCUCGGUUUGCAAUGCAGACGUGUUCUUGGACCGGCUUGACCCAUUUUCAACAGCAACUUGGCAAAUUCGAAGCCGAUGUCCUCACUUUUGCGUCCAAUAGAAUGUUUACAACAGGCAUGUUUUCCGAACCUUUUUUCCUUGUGUUGGGAAUAGAAAUGAUCCAGCUUUCAGUGUUGAAUAUAAACCCAAGAUUUCUAUAUAUAUUGUUGUUAGUAACAUCGGCAUUUACAAGUCGUUACAUGAUUUUCUAAAAGCUGGCUUCAUAAAGUUUAUGGGUAUUAAUCGAACUGCGGUUUCUCCAGAUCUACGAAGCGCCCAAAACAAAGCGA
Molecule: long non-coding RNA, 526 nt
Organism: Glossina fuscipes
Lineage: Eukaryota; Metazoa; Arthropoda; Insecta; Diptera; Glossinidae
Exons: 3
Source: RefSeq, a predicted model, not a curated record